Molecule: ribosomal RNA, 140 nt
Filed under: uncultured eukaryote
Lineage: Eukaryota
Description: partial 18S ribosomal RNA
Rfam family: Eukaryotic small subunit ribosomal RNA
Source: RNAcentral
UGGUGGAGUGAUUUGUCUGGUUAAUUCCGUUAACGAACGAGACCCCUGCCUGCUAAAUAGUCACUUGAAGGGUUCCCUUCUUGGAAGACUUCUUAGAGGGACUUUGCGCGUCUAGCGUAAGGAAGUUUGAGGCAAUAACA